UUCCUUCUUUGCCCAGCACCCCCGCUCUGCUUCGCUCUGUUCACAGUGUUAACACGUCGAGCAAUGGCUCCCAGGAAAUGCUUGUUCGGGUGUGCCUAAAGAGGCAAGCAUCAGACUGAAGUGGUUGGAGUUGUUGAUUCCCGGCCGGCAAGAGAAAAAUGUGCUCAUCUGUCAACGGAACUUCACACGGGACUGUUUUGUGAACAUGGGCCAGUACGAAGCUGGACUAUCUGCCAAACUGGUGCUGAAGUUCAACGCCUUUCCAGCUUUACUUUGUCGACUUGAAGAGCCAGAAGAGCAAGCUGGUCGCAGGGGUCUGCUGAAGUCUAUCCCAGCUGACUUCCGGCAAGAGGCGGGGUACACCCUGGACUGGUCACGUCUGGAUGCAACUAUUUACUAAUCCGGCACAGUGUGGACACAAAUUUUUUUUGACCCACAAAAAAAAAAAUCCCAGCCCCCCACGCUCCCUCCUCCCGCCUCUGGCCCGGAUCCAGCAGUCACACUUGCCCUGUGGUUCUCCUGAUCUUCUUAUCUCCCUGCACCCUCUUGGUCCUGUCCUGCUCAGCCCUGCCCUGCCCUCUCCUGUCUUCACUGGUGACACCUUCUUAUCCGCGUCUCUCAGCACACCCACGAGCUGUUAAGCAUACAUGGAGUGAUCUCAAGGCCUAUAAUAGUAUUGAUACACACAACAGUUUGACAAGAAAAUCUGCAAACUAGCAGCUGACACGUCCCUCCUCCUCCAUCUCCCAGAAUGCAUUGCUCCAUGCAAUUUGAUCUAAACCAAAAGUCCCUUUUGCUUAUGCAUUCUCGCUCUCUCCCUCCCAUCUCUUCUAAUCCCCACUGCUUAUUCUGUGCUCAUUGACAGCCUGUUUAAAAACUACGCAGGCGAGAGGCAGCCAGUCAGCGGGAGGAGCCAUCGCCCAAGCAGAAUAGCGCUCUCUCCAUUCACCCACCACUUAAUUUUCUCUGUCUGCAAAACUUUCUCAAGAGGACAAACAUCAUGUGGUGCUGGGAAGAGGAACCCAUGUUGUGCAGUAUCUUUGUUAUAUUGCUCUUUCUUAAAUCAUGCAGUGACCUUGCUUUUGAAUGUCUUUUUUGUCCACAUAUAUUUAUGCAUAUGGAAACCAAACAUACAAUACCAGCCCCCUGCACAGGGGCAGACAGAUGUAGUGCCUCACCCCAAAAGUAGAAUGGUUAAAAUUUCACAUGUGAUAGAAAAACACAUGAGCAAGACGGAAUGGAUGAACUGAUGUCAACUUUAUACAAACAGAGGACCUCCAUCACUGUAUUAACAUUCAUGAGUCCUCAUUGAGACAUACCUGGAUGCUUCACAAUAACCAGCUUUACUUUGUGUACUUUCACACUGAUAGUUCACUUGCUCCAAAUGAAUUUCAGGGUUUGUAAAGCCACCACUUCCUGAAAUCACUCUCUUUUCUUACUGUUCACAGCAAUAUAAGCAAACGGACUACUGAGCGAAGCAGCGCAACUAAACACAAAAAGGAACAAAAUGUGCCUUUCUAGACAAAGUUAAUAAUUAUGUGGUCAGUUUACUAGGUUACAUUGCACUUUACAGGGCUCUUACGGGGUACCCUUGACUUUUACCUCUUGGGGAAAAGCAGUUGUUUUUUGUGGGCCCCCAAAAGUUGACAUACUGUAAGAAACUAUCAAUUUAAACGUUUGACAUUGCAGUUUUCGGCAUCCGAAGUCAUUUUCAGUACCCUGUGAUUGGCCUGUCAAGGGUGUAGUCUUCUCCUUGCCGACAGUCAGUUGGGGUCGGCUCCAACUGACAGAAAAUACUGUACAUGGUGGCAGAAAAUAGAUGCAUUUAUGGCACUUUGAAUACUUUUCAACAAAGUAUUUUAAAUAAAUGUUUUGUUCCAAGGGAUGUUAGGGGGGCCAUGGAGCAUACAUGUGCAUUCACCUGUACAAAGUACACAUAUUUACAUUGGAGUCAAUCAGUCAAUCAGUCACAUUUCUGAAUGUACAUUCAUCACUAAUGUUUUCAAGAGUUUUGAGGGUUCCACCCUGCAGUGCUGCAUUUUUUUCCUGAGUGUACUGCACCAACUUUUCUGCUUUUCAGGUGACCUCGGGUGUUGGAGUUCUCAGUUUUUUUGCAUUUUGAUAACAAAUCAACCCAGGCUAACUCACAUAACGAGUCUGACUUCUUUGUCCAGCAGCCAGCACUGCAGGACAGUUGCAGACCAGAUCAUUAAAAAGGUGAUUAAAGAUCUUCUGCAUGUAAACAUGUGAAGAAAAACCUCUCCUCUGAUCGUCUCUGCACUCACCAGGUUGCACUAGAUAAACGCCUUGGGGGUAUAGACACAAGACAUUUAGUCAGCUGUUUAAAGUGACACACCCACUAAAGUUUUAUGAAAUGUGUUUUCAUGUUAACAGUAAAGCGGCGACAACAACAAAAAUAUACUAUGGCAGCAUACAUACAUGCCGAGAAACGUUAUCUUUUAAAGAUCAAGUUCAAGGUUGUCGAUAAGACCAAAACUUUUUUUGUCUUUAGUAACUCAAACCAGCCGAACGGUUACGCAACCUUCGCCCGCCCUCUGCAAAGUUUUGCUGCCUGCACAA
Molecule: long non-coding RNA, 2580 nt
Organism: Dunckerocampus dactyliophorus (ringed pipefish)
Lineage: Eukaryota; Metazoa; Chordata; Actinopteri; Syngnathiformes; Syngnathidae
Exons: 3
Source: RefSeq, a predicted model, not a curated record